CAACCCUCAAGCUCAGCUUGGUGUUGGGAGCCUAUAUUACUAUAGGUCCUGAAUUGUAGUGGCGGACUCAUAGCUGGCUCCGAGCGUAGUAGUUACAAACUCGCUGAGGAACGCCUGUGAAUCCAGCCAUUGACUAUUAUCAUUUACUCAAGU
This 153-nucleotide unclassified non-coding RNA is filed under the name uncultured Ascomycota. RNAcentral describes it as "sequence contains ITS2". Lineage: Eukaryota; Fungi; Ascomycota. The record is from RNAcentral.